RNAcentral lists this ribosomal RNA (120 nucleotides) under uncultured bacterium. Its description in RNAcentral is "partial 16S ribosomal RNA". It matches the Rfam family "Bacterial small subunit ribosomal RNA", at positions 28 to 148 of the family's 1533-position model. The record is from RNAcentral.
GACGAACGCUGGCGGCGUGCUUAACACAUGCAAGUCGAACGAUGAACCGGUUUCGGCCGGGGAUUAGUGGCGAACGGGUGAGUAACACGUGGGCAAUCUGCCCUGCACUCUGGGACAAGC